AUAAGUGGAAGUUGUGAAACUUCCUUAUUAGAAUAGUUUAGUUAAGUCUAGUUUAGUUUUUGUGUUGUGAUACUCCUGGCAAUAGAGAUUGCCGGGAGUAUCUUUUUU
RNAcentral lists this small RNA (108 nucleotides) under Phocaeicola coprophilus CAG:333. RNAcentral's name for it is "Bacteroides coprophilus CAG:333 Bacteroides sRNA BTnc049". It matches the Rfam family "Bacteroides sRNA BTnc049". From Rfam's summary of the family: An uncharacterized small RNA discovered in Bacteroides thetaiotaomicron Lineage: Bacteria; Pseudomonadati; Bacteroidota; Bacteroidia; Bacteroidales; Bacteroidaceae. The record is from Rfam by way of RNAcentral.